RNAcentral lists this ribosomal RNA (301 nucleotides) under uncultured bacterium. Its description in RNAcentral is "partial 16S ribosomal RNA". It matches the Rfam family "Bacterial small subunit ribosomal RNA", at positions 509 to 809 of the family's 1533-position model. The record is from RNAcentral.
CAGUCGCCACGGUAAUACGUAGGGUGCAAGCGUUAAUCGGAAUUACUGGGCGUAAAGCGUGCGCAGGCGGUUAUAUAAGACAGAUGUGAAAUCCCCGGGCUCAACCUGGGAACUGCAUUUGUGACUGUAUAGCUAGAGUACGGCAGAGGGGGAUGGAAUUCCGCGUGUAGCAGUGAAAUGCGUAGAUAUGCGGAGGAACACCGAUGGCGAAGGCAAUCCCCUGGGCCUGUACUGACGCUCAUGCACGAAAGCGUGGGGAGCAAACAGGAUUAGAGACCCGAGUAGUCCCUGUCUCUUAUAA